This 374-nucleotide ribosomal RNA is filed under the name uncultured organism. RNAcentral's name for it is "partial 16S ribosomal RNA". It matches the Rfam family "Bacterial small subunit ribosomal RNA", at positions 527 to 896 of the family's 1533-position model. The record is from RNAcentral.
GUAGGUGGCAAGCGUUGUCCGGAAUUAUUGGGGCGUAAAGCGCGAGCAGGCGGUCCUUUAAGUCUGAUGUGAAAGCCCACGGGCUCAACCGUGGAGGGUCAUUGGAAACUGGGGGACUUGAGUACAGAAGAGGAAAGCGGAAUUCCACGUGUAGCGGUGAAAUGCGUAGAGAUGUGGAGGAACACCAGUGGCGAAGGCGGCUUUCUGGUCUGUAACUGACGCUGAGGCGCGAAAGCGUGGGGAGCAAACAGGAUUAGAUACCCUGGUAGUCCACGCCGUAAACGAUGAGUGCUAAGUGUUAGGGGGUUUCCGCCCCUUAGUGCUGCAGCUAACGCAUUAAGCACUCCGCCUGGGGAGUACGGCCGCAAAUGCUG